Non-coding RNA from Pimephales promelas (fathead minnow), 317 nucleotides. NCBI's taxonomy places the organism in Eukaryota, Metazoa, Chordata, Actinopteri, Cypriniformes, Leuciscidae. The record is from RefSeq and is a predicted model, not a curated record.
GUGUAUUUUAAUAUUAUUUUCUUCAUUUGCAGAGCUUGCUUUGUGAGAUGAGACAUGCAAAGGAAAUAUCAAUGCAGAGUUUAUUCGCAUCACAAGCAAAAACCUCAAGCAAGAAUUUUUUACAGCACUUGAUCAACAUACAGCUCCAUUUCUGGCAGUUGGAAAAAAAAACUUUCUGAAUUUGUGGGCACUGACAUCACUGCAAAUCGCACAGCAGUUCUUUGUGGACUUCCCCUCAUUUUUGGAGAAGACACCUCAGACUUUUUCAAAACAAUAUUGGCAAGUACCAUUCUCUGUAUAUUUCUCUCUAAACUAAU